This is a small nuclear RNA of Panthera pardus (leopard), 84 nucleotides long. The record is from Ensembl. NCBI's taxonomy places the organism in Eukaryota, Metazoa, Chordata, Mammalia, Carnivora, Felidae.
GUGCUCGAUUCAGCAGUACAUAUACUAAAAUUGGAACAAUACAGAGAAGACUAGCAUGGCCCGUGCACAAGGAGGGGACACACA